AGUAGUGCUGCACCAUGCAGUCAAAUGCCGAAGGUGGCUUAUGCUAGUAUAUACCUGUCUAUACGUUUCAAUCAGAAAAUCGAUAUUAUGUGUUCAUGUGAAAGUUCACAUUUCCUUAGGAGCUGUAUUUUGAUAGAUUUAAGCUUCUAAUGGAGCAUUUUAAACGUAUAGAGUAUACUAUGAAGUAGAGUGCGGAUCAUUUUAUAUUCAUAGAAAAUUUGAAUGUAUGGAAAUGUACAAAAUGCUCAUGAUAUGCAAAAAUAUGCAAAAUAUUCAAAGUAAACCAAUCAUCAAAAAGUUUAAAAGAUCAGACUCUCUAUUUUUCUUUUUGCAUCCUGCAAAUUACCGUAUAGAGAUGUAAAACGAAAGCUAUUGCUCGUUAAAAUUUGACGUACUUUUGUUUUCAUGAAAAUAUACAUAUGUUGAAUUAAAUAAACUAAACUAUUGAUAAUCACAUUGAAAGUAUAUAUAUUUAUAUAUAACUUAGAUUUCACAGAUUAUUUCGAUAUUGAAGUACUUCUUAUGUAUUAACGAAGAAGAUAAAACAUACUAAUACAAGCAUAAUUCAAUUGAGCGAUUAUGAUAAUGUUAAUGCGCAUCUCCGAACGUGCUGAGGAUAAAUGAGCAGUUUUCAGAAUUCUACCUUUUAGCGUUCUACACACGAUCGGAGCGUAAAUGUGCCCGUAGUCUGCCUGUUCCUAUAAGCUACUUUAAACGAUCAUCUUUGAUUGUGUUGGCUCGUAGAUCAUAGAGGAAGCCAUUUACCUAUCUUUCGGAACAAGAACUACAGUUAAAAACAGCGACCAAUUGAGAACAGUAGUUAAGUCCGCGAGUAGAGGGGUGAGCGUGUUUUAGCGGCGACAACAGCACACGGUAUGCAGAUACGAAGCCGGGGUAAACCGGGAAGCCGUAGUUCACGGACCGUAGUAAGCGUGGUAACUCUGAACAGUCAACAACAUUUGAAAGCCGGCCGCGCUUUGGAAUUCAGAUUAUUAUACGGUUAGAAAUGACAUAUUUUUGGAGAUAUCGAGGAAUGGUACUUUUAAGUAAUUUUGAUUUUCAUCACUCAUAAAUUGAACCGAGGAAAUUCCAUCAAUUUAUUUACCGGCUGUUAAAAAGUUUUAAUGAAAUGGGACAAAUGAUAGACGAAUAUGCGGCUGCUUCUGUUCCAAAUAUCUCCGUUACUGUGCCUGUUGACGGAAAUCGGCGCGGCUGGGAUCGGUAAAGCAUGGCAGAUCCUGCCAUACGCGACCGAUUCCUGGAAUCACCCAUCAUGGCCACGGCUCGACUCUUCCGCGUUCGAAGUUCGCAGCGUGAGCGGGAAUAAACGCUGAAUUCUGAUUGUAGGGUGGUACAGGCAAAAGUACCGAUACGCGACGGUUCAGACAAUGUACAGUUUACUCCUUUAUUUGUGCCUAUCCAGUCAAUCUCGUCGAUAAAAAUAAUUGUAGGCGAAUAAUUAUAGGCAAGUUCAAAUAAAACCUGUUCAGUUUAACAAA
Long non-coding RNA from Bombus terrestris (buff-tailed bumblebee), 1499 nucleotides. RefSeq lists it as uncharacterized. The transcript is spliced from 7 exons. Lineage: Eukaryota; Metazoa; Arthropoda; Insecta; Hymenoptera; Apidae. The record is from RefSeq and is a predicted model, not a curated record.